AGACCAUGAUGUGGGCAUUUCCUUAAUAGCUCCUUGAACUUUUCCCACAUCUCGUACAAUGAUUCCCCAUCGUAUUGAGAUUAGGAGUUAAUCUCGGUCAUGAGUUU
Helianthus annuus (common sunflower) is the source of this 107-nucleotide non-coding RNA. Lineage: Eukaryota; Viridiplantae; Streptophyta; Magnoliopsida; Asterales; Asteraceae. The record is from Rfam.